GGAGAGGUGGCAGAGUGGUCGAUUGCAACUCACUGCUAAUGAGUUGACCUGGGAAACUGGGUCCCUGGGUUCAAAUCCCAGCCUCUCCGCCA
RNAcentral lists this transfer RNA (92 nucleotides) under Candidatus Omnitrophota bacterium. Its description in RNAcentral is "Candidatus Omnitrophica bacterium tRNA-Ser". It matches the Rfam family "tRNA". From Rfam's summary of the family: Transfer RNA (tRNA) molecules are approximately 80 nucleotides in length. Their secondary structure includes four short double-helical elements and three loops (D, anti-codon, and T loops). Further hydrogen bonds mediate the characteristic L-shaped molecular structure. tRNAs have two regions of fundamental functional importance: the anti-codon, which is responsible for specific mRNA codon recognition, and the 3' end, to which the tRNAs corresponding amino acid is attached (by aminoacyl-tRNA synthetases). tRNAs cope with the degeneracy of the genetic code in two manners: having more than one tRNA (with a specific anti-codon) for a particular amino acid; and 'wobble' base-pairing, i.e. permitting non-standard base-pairing at the 3rd anti-codon position. Lineage: Bacteria; Pseudomonadati; Candidatus Omnitrophota. The record is from RNAcentral.